GUGCCAGCAGCCGCGGUAAUACGUAGGGUGCAAGCGUUAAUCGGAAUUACUGGGCGUAAAGCGUGCGCAGGCGGUUUUGUAAGUCUGAUGUGAAAUCCCCGGGCUCAACCUGGGAAUUGCAUUGGAGACUGCAAGGCUAGAAUCUGGCAGAGGGGGGUAGAAUUCCACGUGUAGCAGUGAAAUGCGUAGAUAUGUGGAGGAACACCGAUGGCGAAGGCAGCCCCCUGGGUCAAGAUUGACGCUCAUGCACGAAAGCGUGGGGAGCAAACAGGAUUAGAUACCCUGGUAGUCCACGCCCUAAACGAUGUCUACUAGUUGUCGGGUCUUAAUUGACUUGGUAACGCAGCUAACGCGUGAAGUAGACCGCCUGGGGAGUACGGUCGCAAGAUUAAAACUCAAAGGAAUUGACGGGGACCCGCACAAGCGGUGGAUGAUGUGGAUUAAUUCGAUGCAACGCGAAAAACCUUACCUACCCUUGACAUGGCUGGAAUCCUUGAGAGAUCAGGGAGUGCUCGAAAGAGAACCAGUACACAGGUGCUGCAUGGCUGUCGUCAGCUCGCGUCGUGAGAUGUUGGGUUAAGUCCCGCAACGAGCGCAACCCUUGUCAUUAGUUGCUACGAAAGGGCACUCUAAUGAGACUGCCGGUGACAAACCGGAGGAAGGUGGGGAUGACGUCAAGUCCUCAUGGCCCUUAUGGGUAGGGCUUCACACGUCAUACAAUGGUACAUACAGAGCGCCGCCAACCCGCGAGGGGGAGCUAAUCGCAGAAAGUGUAUCGUAGUCCGGAUUGUAGUCUGCAACUCGACUGCAUGAAGUUGGAAUCGCUAGUAAUCGCGGAUCAGCAUGUCGCGGUGAAUACGUUCCCGGGUCUUGUACACACCGCCCGUCACACCAUGGGAGCGGGUUUUACCAGAAGUAGGUAGCUUAACCGUAAGGAGGGCGCUUACCACGGUAGGAUUCGUGACUGGGGUGAAGUCGUAACAAGGUAACCGU
RNAcentral lists this ribosomal RNA (993 nucleotides) under uncultured bacterium. RNAcentral's name for it is "bacterial SSU rRNA". It matches the Rfam family "Bacterial small subunit ribosomal RNA", at positions 505 to 1503 of the family's 1533-position model. The record is from RNAcentral.